This 407-nucleotide ribosomal RNA is filed under the name uncultured bacterium. Its description in RNAcentral is "partial 16S ribosomal RNA". It matches the Rfam family "Bacterial small subunit ribosomal RNA", at positions 28 to 526 of the family's 1533-position model. The record is from RNAcentral.
GACGAACGCUGGCGGCGUGCCUAAUACAUGCAAGUAGAACGCAGUUGCGAACGGGUGAGUAACGCGUAGGUAACUGCCUCAUAGCGGGGGAUAACUAUUGGAAACGAUAGCUAAUACCACAUACUGUGCGAUGGACCUGCGUUGUAUUAGCGAGUUGGUGAGGUAAAGGCUCACCAAGGCGACGAUACAUAGCCGACCUGAGAGGGUGAGCGGCCAAACCGGGACUGGGACACGGCCCAGACGCCCUAGGGGGGCAGCAGUAGGGAAUCUUCGGAAAGGGACGGAAGUCUGACCGAGCAACGCCGCGGGAGUGAAGAAGGUUUUCGGAUCGUAAAGCUCCGUUGUUAGAGGAGCGUUAACUAACCAGAAAGGGACGGCUAACUACGUGCCAGCAGCCGCGGUAAUUC